RNAcentral lists this ribosomal RNA (497 nucleotides) under uncultured bacterium. RNAcentral describes it as "partial 16S ribosomal RNA". It matches the Rfam family "Bacterial small subunit ribosomal RNA", at positions 28 to 507 of the family's 1533-position model. The record is from RNAcentral.
GAUGAACGCUGGCGGUGUGCCUAAUACAUGCAAGUCGAGCGAACAGACGAGGAGCUUACUCCUCUGACGUUAGCGGCGGACGGGUGAGUAACACGUGGAUAACCUACCUAUAAGACUGGGAUAACUUCGGGAAACCGGAGCUAAUACCGGAUAACAUGUUGAACCGCAUGGUUCAACAGUGAAAGACGGUCUUGCUGUCACUUAUAGAUGGAUCCGCGUCGCAUUAGCUAGUUGGUAAGGUAACGGCUUACCAAGGCAACGAUGCGUAGCCGACCUGAGAGGGUGAUCGGCCACACUGGAACUGAGACACGGUCCAGACUCCUACGGGAGGCAGCAGUAGGGAAUCUUCCGCAAUGGGCGAAAGCCUGACGGAGCAACGCCGCGUGAGUGAAGAGGGUCUUCGGAUCGUAAAACUCUGUUAUUAGGGAAGAACAAAUGUGUAAGUAACUAUGCACGUCUUGACGGUACCUAAUCAGAAAGCCACGGCUAACUACGUG